UAGAAAUUAGCUUAAUUGGUAAAGCAACUAUCUUACACAUAGAAGAGUAUAGGUUCGAAUCCUAUAUUUCUAA
This is a non-coding RNA of Yarrowia lipolytica, 73 nucleotides long. The record is from Rfam. Lineage: Eukaryota; Fungi; Ascomycota; Dipodascomycetes; Dipodascales.